AGAGUUUGAUCCUGGCUCAGAGCGAACGCUGGCGGCAGGCUUAACACAUGCAAGUCGAGCGGGCGUAGCAAUACGUCAGCGGCAGACGGGUGAGUAACGCGUGGGAACAUACCUUUUGGUUCGGAACAACACAGGGAAACUUGUGCUAAUACCGGAUAAGCCCUUACGGGGAAAGAUUUAUCGCCGAAAGAUUGGCCCGCGUCUGAUUAGCUAGUUGGUGGGGUAACGGCUCACCAAGGCGACGAUCAGUAGCUGGUCUGAGAGGAUGAUCAGCCACAUUGGGACUGAGACACGGCCCAAACUCCUACGGGAGGCAGCAGUGGGGAAUAUUGGACAAUGGGCGAAAGCCUGAUCCAGCCAUGCCGCGUGAGUGAUGAAGGCCCUAGGGUUGUAAAGCUCUUUUGUGCGGGAAGAUAAUGACGGUACCGCAAGAAUAAGCCCCGGCUAACUUCGUGCCAGCAGCCGCGGUAAUAC
Molecule: ribosomal RNA, 474 nt
Filed under: uncultured Bradyrhizobiaceae bacterium
Lineage: Bacteria; Pseudomonadati; Pseudomonadota; Alphaproteobacteria; Hyphomicrobiales; Nitrobacteraceae
Description: bacterial SSU rRNA
Rfam family: Bacterial small subunit ribosomal RNA
Source: RNAcentral